AAGACGGGUGAUUUCUGCAUUUCCAACUGAGAAAUCUGGAAAAAAGAAGCACAAACUAAGAGAUUAAAAUCAUCUACAAUUCCAUCAUGCAGAGGAAACUACAGGGGCUUUGGAACUGCACAUAGAAAAACUAUGACUUCCUCAGGAUACAAAAUCAAUGUGCAAAAAUCCCAAGCAUUCCUAUACACCAGCAAUAGACAAGC
RNAcentral lists this long non-coding RNA (203 nucleotides) under Homo sapiens (human). RNAcentral's name for it is "HSALNT0301797". Lineage: Eukaryota; Metazoa; Chordata; Mammalia; Primates; Hominidae. The record is from RNAcentral.